This 240-nucleotide unclassified non-coding RNA is filed under the name soil metagenome. Its description in RNAcentral is "partial contains 5.8S ribosomal RNA, internal transcribed spacer 2, and large subunit ribosomal RNA". The record is from RNAcentral.
AACAUCGCGCACCUGCGGGAACCUGCGGAAGGAUCAUCAUUGAAAAACAUUUUUCCCAAGCCUCUGAGGGGGGGGGGAAUAGGGAAUGUGGGAAGGGAAAAUUUUUCCUUUUCAUUCUUUUCCUCCUUCUUCUUUCUGGCUUGGCAAACAACUUUGAUACCCAAAAAGAGUUUCAUCUUCUUCAUCUUUUAGCUUUCAGCUUGGUUAAUUAAUUAGGCUGCUGGCUAGGGAUGGAGGGGA